This 459-nucleotide ribosomal RNA is filed under the name uncultured bacterium. Its description in RNAcentral is "partial 16S ribosomal RNA". It matches the Rfam family "Bacterial small subunit ribosomal RNA", at positions 338 to 795 of the family's 1533-position model. The record is from RNAcentral.
CCUACGGGAGGCAGCAGUGAGGAAUAUUGGUCAAUGGUCGGGAGACUGAACCAGCCAAGCCGCGUGAGGGAUGAAGGUACAGAGUAUCGUAAACCUCUUUUGUCAGGGAACAAAGGCGGGGACGUGUCCCCGGAUGAGUGUACCUGAAGAAAAAGCAUCGGCUAACUCCGUGCCAGCAGCCGCGGUAAUACGGAGGAUGGGAGCGUUAUCCGGCUUUAUUGGGUUAAAAGGGUGCGCAGGCGGUCUGUUAAGUCAGCGGUAAAAGCCCGGGGCUCAACCCCGGCCCGCCGUUGAAACUGGCAGUCUCGAGUUGGAGAGAAGUAUGCGGAAUGCGCGGUGUAGCGGUGAAAUGCAUAGAUAUCGCGCAGAACUCCGAUUGCGAAGGCAGCAUGCCGGCUCCACACUGACGCUGAGGCACGAAAGCGUGGGUAUCGAACAGGAUUAGAUACCCUGGUAGUC